RNAcentral lists this ribosomal RNA (457 nucleotides) under uncultured bacterium. Its description in RNAcentral is "bacterial SSU rRNA". It matches the Rfam family "Bacterial small subunit ribosomal RNA", at positions 28 to 483 of the family's 1533-position model. The record is from RNAcentral.
GACGAACGCUGGCGGCGUGCUUAAUACAUGCAAGUCGACUGAACUUAAGGUAGCAAUAUUUUAAGGGAGGUGGCGCACGGGUGAGUAACACGUAGGUAAUCUGCCUUUAGGACUGACAUAACCCAGAGAAAUCUGGGCUAAUAUCAGAUGAUGCAGCGGCUCGACAUCGAGACAGUUGUUAAACCUUCGGGGCCUAGAGAUGAGCCUGCGUCUGAUUAGGUAGUUGGCGGGGUAAUGGCCCACCAAGCCAUCGAUCAGUAGCUGGUCUGAGAGGAUGAUCAGCCACACUGGAACUGAGACACGGUCCAGACUCCUACGGGAGGCAGCAGUAAGGAAUAUUGCUCAAUGGCCGAAAGGCUGAAGCAGCAACGCCGCGUGGAGGAUGAAAUACUUUUGUAUGUAAACUCCUGUAAGAAGGGAAAAAUAUUCCGAUUUAUCGGGAUUGAUUGUACCUUCA